RNAcentral lists this ribosomal RNA (336 nucleotides) under Triticum aestivum (bread wheat). Its description in RNAcentral is "partial small subunit ribosomal RNA". Lineage: Eukaryota; Viridiplantae; Streptophyta; Magnoliopsida; Poales; Poaceae. The record is from RNAcentral.
AUGGCGCGCGGAAAGGUGGCCGAGUGGAUACGGAAGCGUACCAUGCCGAGGAAGCCGGGGGCCAGGCAACAGAGCAGGAACAGCGGGGCGUCGGAAGAAUGCGGCCGUGAGCACGGGAGCGGGAAUGGUGCUGGCGGUGGCGGUGCUCCACCGGCGCAUUCCAAGUCCCAGGCGAGGGCCUCCCUGUCGGCGCUUAUGAGGUGGCGGCGGCGCAUGAACGUGAUGGCCGUGCUGUGGGACCAUGUGGUGUACCACGUCAUGUGGCUGGUGGAGUCCGUGGUGUUGGUGGGCAGGCUCUGCUUCUUCCUCAUGCGCUUCGGCCUCAAGCAGCUCUGA